Molecule: small nuclear RNA, 164 nt
Filed under: Suricata suricatta (meerkat)
Lineage: Eukaryota; Metazoa; Chordata; Mammalia; Carnivora; Herpestidae
Description: U4 spliceosomal RNA (ENSSSUG00005014295.1)
Rfam family: U4 spliceosomal RNA (bases 1-68)
Source: RNAcentral
AGCUUUGCACAGUGGCAGUAUCGUAGCCAAUGAGGUUUGUCUGAGGUGCGAUUAUUGCUAAUUGAGAUGAUUGCUAAUUGAAGUUCUAAGGCCCAGGCUUAGACUGCGGAUGGAACUAGCCCUGUACUACUGCUGGAAACAGAAAUUGGAGUACAGACCACAGU